RNAcentral lists this ribosomal RNA (440 nucleotides) under uncultured bacterium. Its description in RNAcentral is "partial 16S ribosomal RNA". It matches the Rfam family "Bacterial small subunit ribosomal RNA", at positions 338 to 795 of the family's 1533-position model. The record is from RNAcentral.
CCUACGGGCGGCAGCAGUGGGGAAUAUUGCACAAUGGGGGAAACCCUGAUGCAGCGACGCCGCGUGAGUGAAGAAGUAAUUCGUUAUGUACAGCUCUAUCAGCAGGGAAGAAAAUGACGGUACCUGAGUAAGAAGCCCCGGCUAACUACGUGCCAGCAGCCGCGGUAAUACGUAGGGGGCAAGCGUUAUCCGGAUUUACUGGGUGUAAAGGGAGCGUAGACGGCAGUGCAAGUCUGGAGUGAAAGGCGGGGGCUCAACCCCCGGACUGCUCUGGAAACUGUAUGGCUGGAGUGUAGGAGAGGUAAGUGGAAUUCCUAGUGUAGCGGUGAAAUGCGUAGAUAUUAGGAGGAACACCAGUGGCGAAGGCGGCUUACUGGACUGUAACUGACGUUGAGGCUCGAAAGCGUGGGGAGCAAACAGGAUUAGAUACCCCUGUAGUC